RNAcentral lists this ribosomal RNA (253 nucleotides) under uncultured bacterium. RNAcentral describes it as "partial 16S ribosomal RNA". It matches the Rfam family "Bacterial small subunit ribosomal RNA", at positions 524 to 776 of the family's 1533-position model. The record is from RNAcentral.
UACGGGGGGGGCAAGCGUUGUUCGGAAUUACUGGGCGUAAAGGGCUCGUAGGUGGCCAACUAAGUCAGACGUGAAAUCCCUCGGCUUAACCGGGGAACUGCGUCUGAUACUGGAUGGCUUGAGUUUGGGAGAGGGAUGCGGAAUUCCUGGUGUAGCGGUGAAAUGCGCAGAUAUCGGGAGGAACACCGGUGGCGAAGGCGGCGACCUGGGUAGAUACUGACGCUGAGGUGCGAAAGCGUGGGGAGCAAACAGG